UACGUAGGUGGCAAGCGUUGUCCGGAAUUAUUGGGCGUAAAGCGCGCGCAGGCGGUCCUUUAAGUCUGAUGUGAAAGCCCACGGCUCAACCGUGGAGGGUCAUUGGAAACUGGGGGACUUGAGUGCAGGAGAGAAGAGUGGAAUUCCACGUGUAGCGGUGAAAUGCGUAGAGAUGUGGAGGAACACCAGUGGCGAAGGCGGCUACCUGGACCGGUACUGACGCUGAGGCGCGAAAGCUGGGGUAGCAAACAGG
RNAcentral lists this ribosomal RNA (253 nucleotides) under uncultured bacterium. Its description in RNAcentral is "partial 16S ribosomal RNA". It matches the Rfam family "Bacterial small subunit ribosomal RNA", at positions 524 to 776 of the family's 1533-position model. The record is from RNAcentral.